RNAcentral lists this long non-coding RNA (591 nucleotides) under Androctonus crassicauda. The record is from RNAcentral. Lineage: Eukaryota; Metazoa; Arthropoda; Arachnida; Scorpiones; Buthidae.
GGAUGAUUGGUCAUUGGAGAUUGAUGUAAGUCAUUAUUCUGUUCUGAAUGCUCUAACAUAUUCAGAUUUCACCUUUAUCAUAUCUACUGCCAUCAAGUCUUAUAAAAGCAGGGUCAUGCAAGUCAUGAAGAGUAUUUUAACUGACUUCUGACCAGAAUUGAAGAUGGUCUUUUGUGUAUCAGCAGAAUCUUACGGUCAGAUGAAUCACUGUUUUUAAUGUGAUGGAAUUGUCAACAAACAUAAUCUUCACUUUAUUUGAGCUGAUAUGAACUCAAAAUGAUUUAUACAGAUCAACCACCAAGAAUACUGUCACUGUGUGGUGUAGUAUUGUGCAUGAUAUGAUAAUAAGGCCUCUGUUUUAUGAGAAUACCAACCACAGAGACAUACCACAUCUAAUUCUUCGUAUAGUUGUAGCUGAAUUUUCUGGCAGUUUACGAUUAACAUCAACAGGAGAUUGUGAUAUCAGCAUGAUGGAGCUCCUCCUCAUUAUAUCCCAUACAAUAAGGCAAAGAACUGGCACUUCAUGCAAAGAGAGGUGGUUUAUUACGGUAUAACAUUUUCGGACGUAAAGGUCCGUCCCUCAUCAGUGCC